RNAcentral lists this ribosomal RNA (498 nucleotides) under uncultured bacterium. RNAcentral describes it as "partial 16S ribosomal RNA". It matches the Rfam family "Bacterial small subunit ribosomal RNA", at positions 29 to 523 of the family's 1533-position model. The record is from RNAcentral.
AAUGAACGCUGGCGGCGUGCUUAACACAUGCAAGUCGAACGAUGCACUUUAUUCGAUUUUCUUCGGAGAUGAAGAUUUAGUGACUGAGUGGCGGACGGGUGAGUAACGCGUGGAUAACCUGCCUCACACUGGGGGAUAACAGUUAGAAAUGACUGCUAAUACCGCAUAAGCGCACAGUACCGCAUGGUAUGGCGUGAAAAACUCCGGUGGUGUGAGAUGGAUCCGCGUUUGAUUAGCCAGUUGGCGGGGUAACGGCCCACCAAAGCGACGAUCAAUAGCCGACCUGAGAGGGUGACCGGCCACAUUGGGACUGAGACACGGCCCAAACUCUACGGGAGGCAGCAGUGGGGAAUAUUGCGCAAUGGGGGAAACCCUGACGCGGCGACGCCGCGUGAGCGAUGAAGUAUUUCGGUAUGUAAAGCUCUAUCAGCAGGGAAGAAUAAAUGACGGUACCUGACUAAGAAGCCCCGGCUAACUACGUGCCAGCCGCCGCGGUAA